AACGUGAUUCAGAGUUUGAUCCUGGCUCAGGAUAAACGCUGGCGGCGCACAUAAGACAUGCAAGUCGAACGGAAGUCGUUGUAAUGAUUUUGAAGCGAACAGAGAACUUGUUCAACGGGAGUGGAAAUUGACUUACAACAAUGGCUUUAGUGGCGGACUGGUGAGUAACACGUAAGCAACCUGCCUAUCAGAGGGGAACAACAGUUAGAAAUGACUGCUAAUACCGCAUAUGCCUUAGUAACGCAUGUUACAAAGGGAAAGGAGCAAUCCGCUGAUAGAUGGGCUUGCGUCUGAUUAGAUUGUUGGUGGGGUAACGGCCUACCAAGUCGACGAUCAGUAGCCGGACUGAGAGGUUGAACGGCCACAUUGGGACUGAGAUACGGCCCAG
Molecule: ribosomal RNA, 388 nt
Filed under: uncultured bacterium
Lineage: Bacteria
Description: bacterial SSU rRNA
Rfam family: Bacterial small subunit ribosomal RNA
Source: RNAcentral